RNAcentral lists this long non-coding RNA (1039 nucleotides) under Heterocephalus glaber (naked mole-rat). RNAcentral's name for it is "lncRNA (ENSHGLG00100051810.1)". Lineage: Eukaryota; Metazoa; Chordata; Mammalia; Rodentia; Bathyergidae. The record is from RNAcentral.
GGUAGGUCACGGGAGUCGGGCCUCUGGAGGGCCUACCCUGUCCCUACCCCCUUUCUCUCUGCAUUUCGUGCUCUCUGCUUUCUGGUUGCUGUGCUGUUUCUGCCACAUCACAGGCCUAAAAGUAAUGGAGUCACUAACUGUGAUCUGAAAUCUCUGAAACCAUAACUCCCUUUCACCGGGACUUUUUAAGAUCACAUUAAAACCCACUUUUGGAGCUUGGUUAUGGUGGACUAGACAUAAACAGCAUAAACAGGCUGCUCCAGGAGACUAAAUUAAAUCAACAGAGAUAAGCAAUUUCUCCAAAAUUCUUCCUGCUGAGCACAUAACCAACAUCUCCUCUUCUGAGCCCAGAUGAGGCGACAGAAUAUGCUGAUGCCAGCCCCAGGAGGCUGGAGCCCAGUUUCCUUUCCAUAGGAAAAGAGAUGAAGGGCCAGGGAUUUAGCUCAGUUGUUCCACUGCCUGCUUCUCAAAUGCAAGGUCCUGAGUUUGAUCCUUGGUACUCUCCCCCAAAAAAGAGAUGAUGAGUUGAAGAUGGCUGGAAGCAUUAAAGCAGGUGGGAAAGGCUGUCCCCAGCUGUCCGCAGUUUUUCAUGGCACGGCUGAGACUAUGGUAUGAAGAUAUGACUUUGACAUCUUGAAGGAUCAGGGAUGAAGGCAAGUGAGUACAGCAUAAAGUCACUUACUGGAGCUGCUGCUGAGCUGUUCUCAGAGUCCACAGGCCCAGGACCGUCCUCUGUGCCCCUUUCCUGGCUGGCAGUCUCUGUAGCUCCAGCUGGUCUAGGCAGGGCCGACAUGGGCGAUCACUCCUCAGCUCUGUGAUUCUCCAGCCACCUCUGCACCUUGGAAGACAGAAGCAUCUGACUUCAGAUCCCCAGAGAGAACAGGUUUCCACCCAUGUCCACACCACAUCUAACACAAGAACAAGAUUUACCUCCUUUCACGAUGAGUGAUAUGGAAAUAUCUACUCCUUUCAGGUAUGCAGUCAGCACUGAGAACCCAACAAGAUGAUCUCAAUAGUUAGACAGUACAUUUCCCCAAAG